Long non-coding RNA from Ailuropoda melanoleuca (giant panda), 5414 nucleotides. RefSeq lists it as uncharacterized. NCBI's taxonomy places the organism in Eukaryota, Metazoa, Chordata, Mammalia, Carnivora, Ursidae. The transcript is spliced from 3 exons. The record is from RefSeq and is a predicted model, not a curated record.
CCGCCCUGCCCCGCCCUCCCGCCUGGCCGGCCAAGUACCCCGGCGCCUCGGCUCCGGCCCGGCGGCCGCUUCCAGAGCCCUGGGCCCCUAGUCCUCCGCCGCGCCUCCCGGGCGGGGGCCUUGGGCAGGGACCGCCGUCUCCCGCUAGAGGGACCCGAGUUGCCCCCGCGGCCGUCUCGCCCCAGCGGACGGCGAGCGCCUCCGGAGCCGGGACGGCGUCCUCGUCACUAGAUCUGGCACGUAGUGGGGCCUAGCAAGAGGCUGCCAGGUGGAAGGAAGCAGAGGUGGCACGGGCCCGGCACUUAGUGGGUGCGCCCUCAGUGUGUGGUCAUUGCCGGCCUCGGGGACUUGCUCGCAGGCUUGGAGGCGGGGGGCACUCUGACGUGUCGCCUCUGGGAGAACCGUGAGACCCGCGGUGAGCAGAGUUGACGACCGGCACCCGGGGCCUCCCGGGGGUAGCCUGGGAGAUCUCUUGAGUAGCGGGGGGAGAGCGCAGGUGAGCAAGGUGAGAACGCAGAGAGGCGGGCAGAAGGCCAGGAGGGUGACCCGCAGGACCUUACAAGAGCCCAGCGCACCUGGAAGCAGGCGGCCUUAAGGUGCUAGGUCAGGGUGUGGGAGCGCAGAGGUGAGGCCCUGGUGUCUGACAGGGCACCCACCGCUGACCGUGGAGAAAUUCCUUCUGAAGAACCAGGAAAGAGAUGCCAAUUUGCAAGAGGGGUGGAACUAACUUUCAGCCAGGGCCCGCUGUGCGCCUGGCAGUGAGCUGAGUUGAGCACUGGGAUAAGAAGUGUGUGAAGCAAUGAAAGCAGAAAGGGUGAUCUUUUCAGAAGUGUGGCAGUGAUCCGGAGAAUAAGAGCAAAGGAGAGGCGAUUUCUUUAUCCCCGCCCCCCGCACCCCAAUGUGAGGUGGAGUUCUCAAAUAAAGGAGCUAAGAGGAGAGAAUAAGAGACGAGAGAUGGGAUAAUUAAUGGUGCAAGAUCCCAGAAAAGGAAAAUGAGAUAGAUACGGCUGGUGGAGGAGGAGGAAGAAAUCAGAGAAGAGGGACUCCUCUUCCUACAAGAUUUAAAGGAUGCAUAAAGAUGGAAAUAUUUUGAGAUGGGGAGGCAUUGCUACUGAGUCCUUCAUGUUUCCCUGGAUCAGCUGCCUGGAUGACCCCCAAAGUCAUCCGUAGGCCAUCUGGGGUUACUGUCCUUUAAAACGAAUCAAGAAGAAAGGAAAUUGCAAAUGGAUCUUUGAAGGAUGGAAGGGACUUAGGUCAGCAGAGAUGAGCUGGCUGGGGAGGCUGCCCUCCGCAGGAGGAACACUGCAAUCAAGGACACAAAAUAAGAAAUGGAUGGAGUGUUCAAGGAACACCAGAAGUUGGUUUGGUUGAAGCAUAGGACUCAAGGUGGAGAAAAGUAGGAGACAAAGUCCAGGAAAAUAAGAUGGGGCCAUGGUCUCGGAUGCCAAGCUAAACCUUUUGUAAUUUGCGGUUGAGAAGAACCCCUGGAGCUUGAACUGUGCAGGUGAUAAAUUUUAAAGUAAAUUUUCCCAUAACCUCUUACUUAAUGAGGUUCUGGAUCUCAGCCCUUCUAACUUAAUGAUAUUUGGAUAUUUGAUUGACUCAGCAGUGAGAUGCAGAUUGAACUUCAGACAACGCUGGACUACCACCUGUAAACCAGAGACAGCUUUCCAUUUGAAUGAACAGAAUCACAGACUAAAAUAAAAGGGGGAAAUAAUGUAUCUUGAUUGUGACAGUACAUAGAAGCUGUUGUAUCCACCACUGUUGGAAUAUGAUAGGGAAAGUAAGUACCAUCCCUUUCUUCUAAGUCCAGAACCAAUGAGAAGAUGAAAAUACAACUCCAUCACCAAUAGAGCUGAACCCAAGUAUGUGGCUUGACUGAUGACUGGUAGGCUUUUUAAUAUUCCCUGAAUUAAAAUGAUCUCCCCCAAAACUCCAACCUCCCCCUUAAGGGGGCCUAGCAACUUUCACUGUGUCUAAUUAGAGAACAUUGCACUCUCUCUGAGGGCAGGCAGAUCCAAAUUCACCAGUUAGGUAAGUCUGGGACAAAUUCUCUCCUACCCGCCGUCCUAUCAAAACAAAACAAAACAAAAAAGUUAGGGAAUAAGGAUCUAUCUCUGCCCAAACAAAUUGGGUCUGACCCAAUAAUUAGGCAGCUGAACGGGAAAGUAUAUUAAUGCAGUGAAUUAUAAAAAAUGGCAAGUCCAUACCUUAACAUCUCGUCACUUAAAACCUGUAAGGAACACCCAUUUGCCAGUCUUCGGAUGUGAGGCCAAAAUUUUUCUUUGAGCAAGAGUGCCGAUUAGAGUGCUCUUGAGACCUUUCUUGCAGAAAUCCUAUCCACGGUAUAUUUUCUGUGCUUUCCAAUUUCUUUCUUUAAAGUUGACUAAGGACUUAAAACUUCUUGCAAAGCAAUAUAAGAGAAACCUUCCUCUUAAAAAAAAAAAAAAUCUUCUGUAAUUGUCUCACCCACAUCUGGUUUGACAGUAAUUUUCAAAUGGUUGUUAGCUAAUAUUUCCAGAGCAUUCAACUGACAUUUCAUAGAAACAACUCUUUCUUUUCAUGCUUAUGUUUCAUCGGUUUGUGUAACUUAAAUUAAUUACACUCUGGCACACAGCUGUCAUAGGGAGGGUUGGGACCAAACACAACAGACUCUUGCUAGGCAUCUAACUCAAUUGGUAGGAAGAAGUGUGUAGGAAAUCCAGAGAUGAAAGCAUUCAGUAGGUCAUGGGUAGUAGUCAAUAUGUUUAACUGGAAGGAAUAGAAAGUGUUGAUUCCAGAGAGUCAACUGAAAGAGAGCCAUUAAUGCUCAUAGAAUAGUAUGACCAACUCUGUGUAUAUCUUAGCCUUCUUCUUCCAUCAUUUAUCCAUUUUAUAGUCCGCUCAAAAUCACUGUCCCUCCAUUCCCAUUUAGCUAAACAUGGCUUUGAAUGGCUUAGGAUUGGUAUGGCUAUAAAGAAAUUCAAACAGUAACAUCGCAUACUGCAUUAGCAAAAUAUACAUACCUUAGUCACUUUCCAGUGCUAAUAAGAUGAUGUAAUUGGUACAUUCAGAGAAAGCUGUGGCCAUGUGAAUGGGCAUCAUCCCUUUAAGAAGCAAUUGACCUUACUUCUGAAGAGCCUUAAAAGAGAUGUGGCCCUUUUGACUCAUCAAUACCGCCCUUGGAAACUUUUCCUCGGGAAAUAACCCUCCCCCAAAGAGAAUGGCCACAUGUACAAUAAUUACUUUAGCCUUAUUUGUGGUAGGGAAAGUUGGAGUAACUUAUGGUAUGUAACAUUGUGUAACUUACCACUGAGUAAGCAGAAAGGAGUAACUUGGAAAACAUUUGAUUACAUAUUAUUCGGGGAAAGAUACAGUUUGUUCCACACACUAAAAACCUGAAACUGAAUUGUAUACUUUAAAAGGGUGAAUUUUGUGAAUCAUAGCUCAACUUUUCAAAAUUUUUGCUUUUGUAUCAGCCAAGAUCAGCAGGAAACAGAUGGCCUGCUCAAAAUGUGUAACUGAAGAGCGUUAAUGAAGGGACAGUGACAAAGAGGCAGGCAGGGUUGAGGGAAACCAACAAGGGAUAGUGAAGCACCCCAGGGCUACAUCUGCUGAGAAGCCAUUAUCAGCCACAGGCUGAGUGAGAACAAAAGCUUCAGGAAAGAGAGAGCCCAUAGGAACUUACAGGAAUACAGCACUACCUUUCUCUCUUGCCCUCAGGUCUCCUGUGGUACCUCCCCCACUGGCUGAACCCAAGAGGAAGCCUAAGGACAAGUGAGCCCAGAUGACAGUGUCCUUCAAGGCCAGCCUCUGGAAAAGGACGGCGGGUGGAUCUGGGAAGACAAAGGCAGAAUAUCUAGCAGGUAUGCGAUCAUAGAACAAUGCGAGAACUGUCUAAGCAUAUGGCCAAGGAUCUUCAGGGAAUCCAAAAAACCAGGGUUUCCAGAGAGAAAAAGUGGAGGUAGCUGGAGAGCAGGUAGGGUGGGUGGAGGGAACGGGAAAGAUCAUUAACUCAGGCUGAGACAAGGAUGAGAGGCAGAAACAGGCACUUUUUAUUUUUUGGUCAAAUACUUAGCUGGAGACUGAGCUCUGGAAGAGAUUAAUAGGAGAUACAGGAACUAAAUUAGACUAGGGCAUUGGAAAUUCUUCCCCUAUUGGCUAUUACCCUAUAUUUCUCCUUCCUAGCUAAACUGCAUGCGUUCAACAAAUAAUUGCUUAGUACCUAUCAUGUGCCAGGAACUGUUAGGCCCUGGGGAUUGAGGAGGGAACAAAAUUAACAUCCUUGCUGUCCUGCAGUUUACAUCCUGGUGUGGGGAGACAGACCAUAGAUAAGUAAAUAUGUCAAGGAAUGAUAAGCGUUCUAAAGAAAAAAUGUGGGAGAGCAGGGAAAUAAAAUUCCGCCCAUUCUAUAUCUUAAGAACCUCAUGAUUUAGAGGUCCCCCCUACACACACACACACACACACACACACACACACACACACACACACCCCAGAGCUCCAGAGUAAAUUAGGCAGUGUGUAUCUCUCACCUGGACAAAGUUCAUAUAAUACCUUCCUCCCUCCAGCACCCUCCAGCCAGUCCUGCCCUGUCUGUGGGGAGGAUCUCCCUGAGACGAAUCACGUCAGUGCCCUGCUUAAAAUCCUCCAAAGCUCUUGUUCGCCUGCAGUGUGGAACACUGUCUAACCUCCUUAUCAUAGACCUUUUCUUAUCUUCUCUGUCCAUCAUGUGCCUCUACCUCCCCCACUCUCCUCUUCUGCCCACACUAAUUGUCUGUAGUUUACUGGCCAUGCCCUACCGCGUAUAUCCGUAUGUUUGCUCAUGCUGCUCUUUCCACUCGGAGGGCCCUCCCAUGCCCUCCACCUUUGCCAGAAUUUGCCAAUCCCCUCUUUGUUUUUCUAAACCCCUCAGCUACCACCUCUUUAGUCAAGCUCCCCUGACCUUCCCAGGUGUGAAGGAGCAUCUCCCAACUCCCUCUUUCGUGUUAUCAGUAUAUCUUAUAGAUACUUAUGAAUACAUUUAUCAUACCAUAUAAUCUUAUUUCUUAGAUCUUAAGAUGUACAGAAGUGGGUUUGGGGCACCUGGGUGGCUUAGUUGGUGGAGCGCCUGACUUCGGCUUGGGUCAUAAUCUUGGGGUCCUGGGAUCGAGUCCCACAUCCAACUCCAUGCUCAGUGGAGACUCGGCUUCUCUCUCUCCUAUGUUCAUCGGUUCAUGUGUGACCCUCUUUUGUUACUCAUCAUCCACCCUAAAAACUAGGAUUGACAACUUACACAUACACCCCCCCCACACCCAAUGCUUAAUCUUGUGUUUAUCAUUUUCUUGCUUCUAAAAAUAUUUUUAUCUAGAAAAUCUUUUUUUUUAAUCUUUUAAAGAUUUUAUGUAUUCAUUUGACAGAGAGGGACAGCCAGCGAGAGAGGGAACACAAGCAGGGGA